Long non-coding RNA from Hemicordylus capensis (graceful crag lizard), 2141 nucleotides. RefSeq lists it as uncharacterized. The transcript is spliced from 5 exons. Lineage: Eukaryota; Metazoa; Chordata; Lepidosauria; Squamata; Cordylidae. The record is from RefSeq and is a predicted model, not a curated record.
UUCUGGGUAUGAAUUCUUACAGCAGUGUUUUUAAAAAUUUUUUUUUUUAAAACCUCACAAGUUAAAGGCAGGCACUUUCCAGGUUUGAAAUCCCACAAACCUUAUAAUCAGAUAGCUGGACAAAUAUGCAGAUUAAGCUAGAGCUCUGUAUAGAGAAUUAAACAGCAUGCCAGUGAAUAUUUCCAUUUUAUUCCUUGCCUCUCCCCACCCUUCAGUUUUGCCAGCUUACAAGGUAUUAAACCGGGAUGUUUUGUCCACUUACUUUUAUGCCAUCUAUAUCUGUUUUUUAAAUGAUCAGGUCCAUGGCAUUCUUCUGACUCCCUAGAUCAGGGGGAAAAACUAGACUAGGGCCUGACAGGGGGCAUUUGAGCAUGUGUGUUGGCCAUUUUUUUUAAAAGGCCACUGCACAUGCUCAAAUGGUCCCUGCGAGGUGUCCUAUGACUUGCGAGGCCUCACAGAGGCCUUUUGAGCAUGUGCAGUGACCUCCAAAAUGGCUGUUGCACUGAUCUUUAUAGGCCUGAACAGGCCUGAAAUUAGACCGGGAUGAGCUACAGCGGAGUUCUAAGAGGCCGGUGGGGGGGGGGACCUUUACAGACCCCUCCCCCACGGCCUUUAGGAAGCCCCCCCAAAGGGGCUACAGGUUUAAAAAAAAUUGGGGGGGAAACACACACCAAUAAUUCAUGAAUUGGGUGUGGGGUAGCAUGGCACUGGCACCCACACAAGUGGCACCUAGGGCAUGUGCCCUGGCUGCCCCCACUAGUUUUACCUAUGGAUAUAGGAGAUACUAGUUAUCACCGACAGUGACAAAAAGAACAGCUCCUGUGUUCACCAGGCAUUGGCUUUGGAAGCUUAUGGCAAGGACUAGGCAUGUAGGUGGAACGCAGGUGGAACACAGACUUCACACUUCAUCUACUAGAACUUUCUGACGUGCAUGAUGUGGCUGGAAAACUACUAUUUCAAAAACUCUGAAAUGAUAGACAGUGAUGGUGACAUUGGAGGUGGACCGUGUAUGUUGAAGAUGGAUCCUCCAAAAAGAAAAAGAAGUCAAUACAAUUAGUAACAUACUGCAUGUUUAGUAUUACUCAUUGCAUGCACUGACAGAUAUGAAACUAUUAAAAGAAUAUCUACCUAUUUUAACUGCAUUAAAAUGGUAACAAUUGUUUUUUCCAAACAUGAGAAUACAAUUGCUUGAGAAGCCCACCCAAAUACUAAUGGCCAGGGAAAACAGGCAGUCUCUUAGACAAAAACAAUGUGAAAAGAAUAUUUAUUAACCUGAAGGUCCUACUCCCUUCUGAAUCUUCAAAACAGGAGCACUUUUCAUUAUGCUGCUGCAUUCAGGCUUUGCAUUUCUUUGUUGCACUGUUUACAUUUUGUAUGUAUGCCUAUCUUCCCCACAGGUACAGGAACUUCAUUAAAAUAUUCUCAAAUUGCUGCCAUGAGAGGUGUUUCCCUUCUAUAAUGGAGUCAGAGUUCACUCAGAAUAAGUUUCCUGAGGACUGCAUGAAUGUAUGUAAUGUAAUUUUAUUUACAGUCAUUGACCAAACAGAGAGUAAAAACCAGUAAAUGUUCUGCUCACUUUCUGUUUCACUUUUUAUUUCUUUCCCCAUCGCUUGCAGUUACAUACAGACUUCUCCUCCUUGCUAAGAUCUACUUUAUGCCAUCAAAUUGUUUGUUGACUUUCUUUGUCUUUGCACUUUUAGAUAGAGAGGUAAGGGCUUGACUUUGCACACCACCGUACCAUCUACAGAAUAGCAGUGAUCAGGUCUCUCAUCUCCAUAUACUGCUGUUAACAACAAGAAAAUCUAUAAGGAUGUAAUGAAAAUGCAAAAAAUGCAGAGAGAAAAACAUUUCAGCUCUCAGCUGUGAAGGUCCCUUUGAAAACCAAAAAAGACAGAAUAAAACUGAAAUCUGACCGAUUACACAGAAGUCCGUCACAAGAACUGAAAAGAGGAUCCAAGUGACGGCGAGAGUCUGCUGGUCAAAUUUGAUAUCAUUUUUUAAAGAAGGAAAGCCCCGGGAAGAAAAGCAAGUGCUGGAGUUUAUUUCUUUCAACUAACUGAAUGUUUACACCUGUAUCAAGCAUGAGGGGUUUUUUUAUAUUAAUGUUGAUGUUUCAGUUAAACACAAUGUUCCUGCAUUAA